This 357-nucleotide long non-coding RNA is filed under the name Gossypium barbadense (sea-island cotton). RNAcentral describes it as "long non-coding RNA (GBAR_LNC020706)". The record is from RNAcentral. Lineage: Eukaryota; Viridiplantae; Streptophyta; Magnoliopsida; Malvales; Malvaceae.
CCAAACCCAUUUCAGCCUCCUCCAGCUCCACUUAUUCCAAACCCCUUUCAGCCUCCUCCAGCUCCUCUUAUUCCAAACCCUUUUCAGCCUCCUCCAGCACCACCGGCUCCACUUAUUCCAAACCCUUUCCAGCCUCCUCCCGCACCUCCAGCUCCAUUUAUCCCGAACCCCUUCCAGCCUCCUCCGGCACCUCCAGCACCUCCAGCACCAUGGUUUCAUCUUCCACCGAUUCCAGGACUAACUCCACCACCAUCGCCACCACCUCCACCUCCACCAACCUUCCCGUUUCCUCUUCCCCCAUUCCAUUUCCCACCUGUACCGCCUUUCCCUGGUAUCCCCCCUGCCUCUGCCUCUACU